UCGCUCCUACCGAUUGAAUGAUCCGGUGAAUAAUUCGGACUGCAGCAGUGUUCAGUUCCUGAACGUUGCAGUGGAAAGUUUAGUGAACCUUAUCACUUAGAGGAAGGAG
RNAcentral lists this ribosomal RNA (109 nucleotides) under uncultured eukaryote. RNAcentral's name for it is "partial small subunit ribosomal RNA". It matches the Rfam family "Eukaryotic small subunit ribosomal RNA", at positions 1676 to 1785 of the family's 1831-position model. The record is from RNAcentral.